This 246-nucleotide ribosomal RNA is filed under the name uncultured bacterium. Its description in RNAcentral is "partial 16S ribosomal RNA". It matches the Rfam family "Bacterial small subunit ribosomal RNA", at positions 107 to 353 of the family's 1533-position model. The record is from RNAcentral.
UGAGUAAUGUCUGGGAAACUGCCUGAUGGAGGGGGAGUAACUACUGGAAACGGUAGCUAAUACCGCAUAACGUCGCAAGACCAAAGAGGGGGACCUUCGGGCCUCUUGCCAUCAGAUGUGCCCAGAUGGGAUUAGCUAGUAGGUGGGGUAACGGCUCACCUAGGCGACGAUCCCUAGCUGGUCUGAGAGGAUGACCAGCCACACUGGAACUGAGACACGGUCCAGACUCCUACGGGAGGCAGCAUG